This 492-nucleotide ribosomal RNA is filed under the name uncultured bacterium. Its description in RNAcentral is "partial 16S ribosomal RNA". It matches the Rfam family "Bacterial small subunit ribosomal RNA", at positions 29 to 507 of the family's 1533-position model. The record is from RNAcentral.
AGUGAACGCUGGCGGUAGGCCUAACACGUGCAAGUCGAGCGGCAGCACAGUAAGAGCUUGCUCUUACGGGUGGCGAGUGGCGGACGGGUGAGGAAUACAUCGGAAUCUACUUUUUCGUGGGGGAUAACGUAGGGAAACUUACGCUAAUACCGCAUACGACCUACGGGUGAAAGCAGGGGAUCUUCGGACCUUGCGCGAUUGAAUGAGCCGAUGUCGGAUUAGCUAGUUGGCGGGGUAAAGGCCCACCAAGGCGACGAUCCGUAGCUGGUCUGAGAGGAUGAUCGGCCACACUGGAACUGAGACACGGUCCAGACUCCUACGGGAGGCAGCAGUGGGGAAUAUUGGACAAUGGGCGCAAGCCUGAUCCAGCCAUACCGCGUGGGUGAAGAAGGCCUUCGGGUUGUAAAGCCCUUUUGUUGGGAAAGAAAAGCAGCAGGUUAAUACCCCGCUGUUCUGACGGUACCCAAAGAAUAAGCACCGGCUAACUUCGUG